UUAAUGAGAAAGGGCAGCCAGUAGAGCCUCCUCAUACUGUUGCUAGAUUUUCUAGGUUCUUAGGAAUGCUAUCUCAAGAAGCAUCAUAUUUUCCAAUUAACAUAGUUGAUUGGAGGAAUUUCUACAGGGCUUUAAACAUGGAUUGUGCUUGGCAGAGGAUUAAGGGGACUCUUGAUUAGACCAAUGCUAUAACUCUAGAAUUGGAGCAAAAAAUUUGGUGGGUUUCUGAGAUGAAGUUGAAUGAUAGAUGGAAGAAUUACAAGGCAAACCUCAAGAAGGCAUCCUAUACUCCAUGUCUGCACUCACCAUUAGCGAAGAGGUUCCAUUGUCAUGAUGGCCGUGUCAACCAAGGCCAAUAGAAAUUGUUAGUGCAUCUAUGGGACACCAUAGAUGCUCAGGUACCACACACAAUCAACAAAUGUUCUUCAUUUUUUAUACACCAUAUAUGCUUGAUAAAUGUAUUGGAAAUUAGGAUGAAUUUCCUUGAACAUAGCCUUACUAAUGCAUGAUAAACUUGACAUAUGCAAAAGUGUGCUACAUCAUCUAUAAAGAAUAGGAAGGCACUACAAACAAAUCACACGACUGGAACCAAGACUUUUACGCAAAUCAGACACGAACAUGUAAGGCUCUUCUAGGUGUUUUGUGUCAUGGUAACUUAAAUACAUGUUAGUGCAAAUGGAAUGAAUGUGCCUGUUGAUGUCAAGAUAUGAAAUAAUGUGGAAAUUAGUUAUUUGACAUUUUAUGUAACAGGAACAAGUUAAUGGAAGCAAACCAGACUGCAUUACAUUCUUUACGCUAACACAUACUCGGAAGAAUGGGGAACCAAUGGAUGCUCAGUUAGCUAAAAUAAUUGUAGGAUGAUUUCAAUACAAAGCUGAAACUGCAUGAGGAUAGGAAUGAGAUCAUAACUGAUGUACGCUAAUGUAUUGGGGCCUGAGAGAAACAACUGUGUCAGAGGGUUUGGGACAGGGGUUAUGUGGUUUGAUGUGCUAGGUAUUAUAACAGAGAAAAUGGGAAUUUGUAGAGAGGUUGAAGCAAUUAGAGCAUCAUAUGAGGAGCAAAGAAAAGUUGCUAAUAUUGAAAUUGAAAGACUUAGGAUGGAGGAAAGUGAGAUAGAGCAAAGGCAAAGGAUUGAGUCAACAAAUGUGGUUGCAUAAUCGAGGAAAGACCAUACUGAUUCAAUGGUGGCACACAACAGACGGGUGGACUUGGAAUUGGAUAACAUGAAGCGUGAAAUGAGGGUUGAAAUUAUGUCUACGCUGAAGAUGACUGCUGAUGGAGGCAUGGUGGAACCAAAUGGAGUUGAUGUGACUUAAGUUUAUGUCAAUAGAAUUGAACUAGGGAUUGGUUUGGAGAUCCAAGCAAAUGGAGAAGUUGAAGAUCAAGGUUUUGUUGUGGUGUAGAAUAUUGGCACAGAUGAUAAGAUUGGGUAUCGUCCAUGCAUGGUGAAUGUCACUGGCAUCAGUAAGUGAAAAGUUAACUAUGAUCCUUUUUGUGAAUUUUACUUGAUGUAUAUAGUACAAAUGCCAUAGGGAAGGCAUAGAACUAAUUGGGUGGAUUUUGUUAGUUAUCAUUUUACUGUUGGUGGAUGUGCAUAGGUACAUAGUUGUUAUAAAAUGUAACGUCAUCACCCUUGGGUACUUGGUUGUGUUGGACAAUAUCGUUGAAUGUAAUAUGCUUUCUUAUGUAGC
Long non-coding RNA from Pyrus x bretschneideri (Chinese white pear), 1691 nucleotides. RefSeq lists it as uncharacterized. The transcript is spliced from 3 exons. NCBI's taxonomy places the organism in Eukaryota, Viridiplantae, Streptophyta, Magnoliopsida, Rosales, Rosaceae. The record is from RefSeq and is a predicted model, not a curated record.